Molecule: ribosomal RNA, 591 nt
Filed under: Actinomyces sp. oral taxon 169
Lineage: Bacteria; Bacillati; Actinomycetota; Actinomycetes; Actinomycetales; Actinomycetaceae
Description: bacterial SSU rRNA
Rfam family: Bacterial small subunit ribosomal RNA
Source: RNAcentral
ACAAUGGGCGCAAGCCUGAUGCAGCGACGCCGCGUGAGGGAUGGAGGCCUUCGGGUUGUAAACCUCUUUCGCCAGUGAAGCAGGCCUGCUCCUUGUGGGUGGGUUGACGGUAGCUGGAUAAGAAGCGCCGGCUAACUACGUGCCAGCAGCCGCGGUAAUACGUAGGGCGCGAGCGUUGUCCGGAAUUAUUGGGCGUAAAGAGCUCGUAGGCGGCUGGUCGCGUCUGUCGUGAAAUCCUCUGGCUUAACUGGGGGCUUGCGGUGGGUACGGGCCGGCUUGAGUGCGGUAGGGGAGACUGGAACUCCUGGUGUAGCGGUGGAAUGCGCAGAUAUCAGGAAGAACACCGGUGGCGAAGGCGGGUCUCUGGGCCGUUACUGACGCUGAGGAGCGAAAGCGUGGGGAGCGAACAGGAUUAGAUACCCUGGUAGUCCACGCCGUAAACGUUGGGCACUAGGUGUGGGGGGCCUUUUCCGGGUCUUCCGCGCCGUAGCUAACGCAUUAAGUGCCCCGCCUGGGGAGUACGGCCGCAAGGCUAAAACUCAAAGGAAUUGACGGGGGCCCGCACAAGCGGCGGAGCAUGCGGAUUAAUUC